AACUUUAUACAACUUUCAGCAACGGAUCUCUUGGCUCUCCCAUCGAUGAAGAACGCAGCGAAAUGCGAUAAGUAAUGUGAAUUGCAGAAUUCAGUGAAUCAUCGAAUCUUUGAACGCACCUUGCGCCCUUUGGUAUUCCGAAGGGCAUGCCUGUUUGAG
RNAcentral lists this ribosomal RNA (159 nucleotides) under Mycetinis copelandii. RNAcentral's name for it is "5.8S ribosomal RNA". It matches the Rfam family "5.8S ribosomal RNA". Rfam says of the family: 5.8S ribosomal RNA (5.8S rRNA) is a component of the large subunit of the eukaryotic ribosome. It is transcribed by RNA polymerase I as part of the 45S precursor that also contains 18S and 28S rRNA. The record is from RNAcentral. Lineage: Eukaryota; Fungi; Basidiomycota; Agaricomycetes; Agaricales; Omphalotaceae.